UUGGAGGGCAAGUCUGGUGCCAGCAGCCGCGGUAAUUCCAGCUCCAAUAGCGUAUAUUAAAGUUGUUGCAGUUGAAAAGCUCGUAGUUGAAUUUCGGGACCAAUUUGUUGGUCGUGCCUCGGUACGUACUGGUAUUAUUGGUUUCUCCCUUCUGAAGAACCUUGAUGUCAUUAAUUUGGUGUCUUGGGGAAUCAGGACUGUUACUUUGAAAAAAUUAGAGUGUUUAAAGCAAGCUAACGCUUGAAUACAUUAGCAUGGAAUAAUGAAAUAGGACGUUCGAUCCUAUUUUGUUGGUUUCUAGGAUUGACGUAAUGAUUAAUAGGGAUAGUUGGGGGCAUUAGUAUUCAAUUGUCAGAGGUGAAAUUCUUGGAUUUAUUGAAGACUAACUACUGCGAUAGCAUUUGCCAAGGAUGUUUUCAUUAAUCAAGAACGAAAGUUAGGGGAUCGAAGACGAUCAGAUACCGUCGUAGUCUUAACCAUAAACUAUGCCGACUAGGGAUCGGAUGAUGUUAAUUUUUUAAUGACUCAUUCGGCGCCUUACGGGAAACCAAAGUGUUUGGGUUC
RNAcentral lists this ribosomal RNA (564 nucleotides) under uncultured Glomeromycotina. RNAcentral describes it as "SSU rRNA". It matches the Rfam family "Eukaryotic small subunit ribosomal RNA", at positions 548 to 1114 of the family's 1831-position model. Lineage: Eukaryota; Fungi; Glomeromycota. The record is from RNAcentral.